This 468-nucleotide ribosomal RNA is filed under the name uncultured bacterium. Its description in RNAcentral is "partial 16S ribosomal RNA". It matches the Rfam family "Bacterial small subunit ribosomal RNA", at positions 28 to 507 of the family's 1533-position model. The record is from RNAcentral.
GACGAACGCUGGCGGCGUGCUUAACACAUGCAAGUCGAACGGAAACGCCCUGCUUUUGUCGGGCGCUUGAGUGGCGAAAGGGUGAGUAACACGUGAGUACCCUGGCCUUGACUUUGGGUUAUCUACAGGGAACUGGGUACCAUAACCGAUAUGUGCAUCUGAUCCAUGGUGGGGGUUGGAAAGUUUCGGCGGAUGGGGCUGGACUCGCGGCUUAUCAGCGUGGUGGUGGGGUAGUGGCAUACAAAGGCUUUGACGGGUAGUCGGCCUGAGAGGAUGACCGGCCACAUUGGGACUGAGAUACGGCCCAGACUGCUACGGGGGGCAGCAGUGGGAAAUAUUGCACAAUGGGCGGGAGCCUGAUGCAGCGACGCCGCGUGCGGGAUGACGGCCUGCGGGUUGUGAACCGCUUUCGCCUGUGACGAAGCGUGAAUGACGGUAAUGUAUAAAGAAGCACCGGCUAACUACGUG